This 433-nucleotide long non-coding RNA is filed under the name Mytilus galloprovincialis (Mediterranean mussel). The record is from RNAcentral. Lineage: Eukaryota; Metazoa; Mollusca; Bivalvia; Mytilida; Mytilidae.
GUCUGGGGCAUGGACUAGUGGCUAACUGUGCACUAAAGUAGCCAUAAACCAUAUUUUUAUACCAAAAAUUACUGUCUUGCACCAUAAAUCAGUAGUUCUUGUUACAACUGUAAUAGCAGCAGUAGAUAAUGUACAUGUACAGUAUGCAGUUUUACUGUUACAGUGUGCAAUGUUGUCAUUUUGAAGAUAGACAGUGUGGCUAAAAUUAUAACAUUAUGUAACAUCAAUUUUAUCUGUAUUUUUGUUUUGCCAAAUUCCCUUCAGUACAACAAUGUACAUGUAGUCUGUACUGUUGUGUAUUUUUUUUACAAUAAAAUGCACUUUUAUUUCGGACACAAACAAUGUACAAAAAAAUGUAACGUACAUGUAAGUGUAUUUUUGGCACUGUGUACUGCACCAUAAAUAAAUGUUUUAAUUACUGUACAUGUAUUAC